UGGGGAAUAUUGCACAAUGGGCGAAAGCCUGAUGCAGCAACGCCGCGUGAGUGAUGACGGUCUUCGGAUUGUAAAGCUCUGUCUUUUGGGACGAUAAUGACGGUACCAAAGGAGGAAGCCACGGCUAACUACGUG
Molecule: ribosomal RNA, 135 nt
Filed under: uncultured bacterium
Lineage: Bacteria
Description: partial 16S rRNA
Rfam family: Bacterial small subunit ribosomal RNA
Source: RNAcentral